AGCUAACGCAUUUAGUGCCCCGCCUGGGGAGUACCGGCCGCAGGCUAAAACUCCAAGGAAUUGACGGGGGCCCGCACAAGCGGCGGAGCAUGUGGCUUAAUUCGACGCCACGCGAAGAACCUUACCUAGUCUUGACAUACCCAGAAACGUCCUGGAUGGACAGGCGCCCCCUUGUGCUCGGUGACAGGUGGUGCAUGGCUGUCGUCCAGUCGUGUCGUGAGAUGUUGGGUUAAGUCCCGCAACGAGCGCAACCCUUGUCCCGUGUUGCCAGCGCCUUGUGGUGGGGACUCACGGGAGACCGCCGGGGUCAACUCGGAGGAAGGUGGGGACGACGUCAAGUCAUCAUGCCCCUUACUGUCUUGGCUGCACACGUGCUACAAUGGCCGGGACAAUGGGCUGCGAUCCCGCGAGGUGGGCGAAUCUCAUAAAGCCGGUCUCAGUUCGGAUUGGGGUCUGCAACUCGACCCCAUGAAGUCGGAGUCGCUAGUAAUCGCAGAUCAGCAUUGCUGCGGUGAAUACGUUCCCGGGCCUUGUACACACCGCCCGUCAC
Molecule: ribosomal RNA, 550 nt
Filed under: Streptomyces albidoflavus
Lineage: Bacteria; Bacillati; Actinomycetota; Actinomycetes; Kitasatosporales; Streptomycetaceae
Description: bacterial SSU rRNA
Rfam family: Bacterial small subunit ribosomal RNA
Source: RNAcentral